RNAcentral lists this transfer RNA (69 nucleotides) under Rattus norvegicus (Norway rat). It matches the Rfam family "tRNA". Rfam says of the family: Transfer RNA (tRNA) molecules are approximately 80 nucleotides in length. Their secondary structure includes four short double-helical elements and three loops (D, anti-codon, and T loops). The record is from Rfam by way of RNAcentral. Lineage: Eukaryota; Metazoa; Chordata; Mammalia; Rodentia; Muridae.
GGGGAUUUAGCUCAGUGGUAGAGCGCUUGCCUAGCAAACAAAAGGCCCUGGGUUCGGUCCCCAGCUCCA